GAAAAGAAACCAACAGGGAUUGCCUUAGUAACGGCGAGUGAAGCGGCAAAAGCUCAAAUUUGAAAUCUGACGCCUCUGGUGUUCGAGUUGUAAUUUGGAGAGGCAUCUUCUGGAGGGGCCCAGCCUAUGUGCCUUGGAACAGGACAUCAUAGAGGGUGAGAAUCCCGUUCUUGGCUGGAUGUUCCCUCCGGUAUGUAGUGUCUUCUACGAGUCGAGUUGUUUGGGAAUGCAGCUCAAAAUGGGUGGUAAAUUUCAUCUAAAGCUAAAUACUGGCGAGAGACCGAUAGCGCACAAGUAGAGUGAUCGAAAGAUGAAAAGCACUUUGAAAAUAGAGUCAAAAAGUACGUGAAAUUGUUGAAAGGGAAGCGCUUGAGACCAGAGUCAGCCUUUGGCAAACAAUUGUCCUUCUGGGCGGUGCACUUGUCAUUGGUUGGGCCAGCAUCGGUUGGGACGGUGGGAUAAAGGCUUGGGAAAUGUGACUCCAUUACGGAGUGUUAUAGUCCCAGGUGGCAUGCCAUCAGUCCCGACCGUGGACCGCGCCUUGGCUCGGAUGCUGGCUUAAUGGUCUUCA
RNAcentral lists this ribosomal RNA (571 nucleotides) under Tuber sp. GB-2012c. RNAcentral describes it as "eukaryotic LSU rRNA". It matches the Rfam family "Eukaryotic large subunit ribosomal RNA", at positions 56 to 643 of the family's 3401-position model. The record is from RNAcentral. Lineage: Eukaryota; Fungi; Ascomycota; Pezizomycetes; Pezizales; Tuberaceae.